UUCGCCCUUAGGGUUUGAUUAUGGCUCAGGACGAACGCUGGCGGCGUGCCUAAUACAUGCAAGUCGAGCGCAGGAAACCAGAUGACCCCUUCGGGGUGAUUCUGGCGGAAUGAGCGGCGGACGGGUGAGUAACACGUGGGCAACCUGCCUGUAAGACUGGGAUAACUUCGGGAAACCGGAGCUAAUACCGGAUAGUAUUUCCUUUCUCCUGAUCGGAAAUGGAAAGACGGUUUCGGCUGUCACUUACAGAUGGGCCCGCGGUGCAUUAGCUAGUUGGUGGGGUAAUGGCCCACCAAGGCGACGAUGCAUAGCCGACCUGAGAGGGUGAUCGGCCACACUGGGACUGAGACACGGCCCAGACUCCUACGGGAGGCAGCAGUAGGGAAUCUUCCGCAAUGGACGAAAGUCUGACGGAGCAACGCCGCGUGAGCGAUGAAGGCCUUCGGGUCGUAAAGCUCUGUUGUCAGGGAAGAACAAGUGCUAGUUGAAUAAGCUGGCACCUUGACGGUACCUAACCAGAAAGCCACGGCUAACUACGUGCCAGCAGCCGCGGUAAUACGUAGGUGGCAAGCGUUAUCCGGAAUUAUUGGGCGUAAAGCGCGCGCAGGUGGUUUCUUAAGUCUGAUGUGAAAGCCCACGGCUCAACCGUGGAGGGUCAUUGGAAACUGGGAGACUUGAGUGCAGAAGAGGAAAGUGGAAUUCCAUGAGUAGCGGUGAAAUGCGUAGAGAUAUGGAGGAACACCAGUGGCGAAGGCGACUUUCUGGUCUGUAACUGACACUGAGGCGCGAAAGCGUGGGGAGCAAACAGGAUUAGAUACCCUGGUAGUCCACGCCGUANACGAUGAGUGCUAAGUGUUAGAGGGUUUCCGCCCUUUAGUGCUNGAGUUAAACGCAUUAGCACUCCGCCUGGGGAGUACGGCCCGCAGGCUGAAACUCAAAGGAAUUGACGGGGGCCCGCACAGCGGUGGAAGCAUGUGGUUAAUUCGAAGCAACGCGAGAACCUUUACAGGUCUGACAUCUCUGACACCCUAGAGAUAGGCUCUCUUUCGGACAAAUGACAGUGGUGCAUGGU
This 1072-nucleotide ribosomal RNA is filed under the name uncultured bacterium. RNAcentral's name for it is "bacterial SSU rRNA". It matches the Rfam family "Bacterial small subunit ribosomal RNA", at positions 1 to 1049 of the family's 1533-position model. The record is from RNAcentral.